UAGCUCAGUUGGUAGAGCAUGGUGUUCAACGCCAGGGUUGUGGGUUCGAUUCCCAC
Molecule: non-coding RNA, 56 nt
Organism: Salmo salar (Atlantic salmon)
Lineage: Eukaryota; Metazoa; Chordata; Actinopteri; Salmoniformes; Salmonidae
Source: Rfam